Molecule: long non-coding RNA, 486 nt
Organism: Cygnus olor (mute swan)
Lineage: Eukaryota; Metazoa; Chordata; Aves; Anseriformes; Anatidae
Exons: 3
Source: RefSeq, a predicted model, not a curated record
AAUUGUUAUGAGUGAGUAAAGGGCCCACCCUCCUUGUAACUCUACUGAAACAGAAAGUAAGACCUGUAAAAAAUACUUCUCCCAAUUUUGAAGAAAUUGUCUUGUGGCCUUCAGUUGCUUUUUGUUUUAAUCCAGUUUAUAUGCCUAAUUGUUAAAGGCAAAUAAAGGUUCCCUGAAUACAUUCUUCCAGAGACUGAACUGUCUUCCAUCAACAUGUUCGUUGCUCCUACUGUUUUAACUCGCUCAGGACAAGGAAACCACCUAAAAAUGCAACUGGAAGGUGCUUUAAGAAGUUAUACUCCCACGUUUUCUUUCAAGGGUCUGAUGAAAACCCAGCACUGCACCAAAUACUGGAUUAGGACUUAACAGUCACCUCUUUAGCCUGUAUUCUUCCAGAAAAGCCUGACAUUUUUGUAUGUGUACAUGUAUACAAACAGGCUGACGAUAUACAACAUAUAUGCACAACCUCAUCUUACAGGUAAUAUA